This is a non-coding RNA of Phascolarctos cinereus (koala), 3867 nucleotides long. The record is from RefSeq and is a predicted model, not a curated record. NCBI's taxonomy places the organism in Eukaryota, Metazoa, Chordata, Mammalia, Diprotodontia, Phascolarctidae.
UCAGUGGAGGCAGUUAAAUGAGUCCAACCUGAAUAGAAGCAAGCAGUGAGUCUGUGAUGAAUACAUUAUACAGAGGUUUUCGGCUUUAAUUUUCUCCUCAGUGGACAUAUUGCAUCUGUAGCUGCUCACCCUGGAGUGGUAGGCAUUUAUCUCAAUGAAAACAGACAAAACCAGCCCAGGCAGCUCACUGGUCCAAGGCCGCUCGGUUGUCAGCUUCCACGUUCUGCCGAAUGCAAGCUUGCUGCUCCUCUCCGAGUAGUUCAGCUCAGCAGAGUGAGAGCACCCCCAGCCCAGCCCCAAACACGGGCCAGCGCUUCAGAGCAAAACAGCACCCAUCAGCACAACCACAGCAGUGGCGGCAGCAGCAACAGCUACCCAAGAGCAGCCAGAUGAGGGAGGCCCGUGGCACUCUGCAGAGCGGAUCAACCCAAACACACCCACCUGAAUUGUUGACAGCUUAGGAGCUGACAUCUUGAUAAACAGAAGCAAGACACCCUGAAUUUCUAAGUGACAGGUGCAGUUUCUAUUAACUUCAAAAAGAAUCUCAGCCGAGUAAGAAAAUCCAGGGGCACAGCCUCUGAAGGCAAGGCUGGGAUGCCUUUUGCCCACAAAUGCUAUCCCUUAAAGCCAUCACCUGAAGCUCCAGCAUUUUUUGGUUUUUAUCAAAUUCACCCCUUCACCCUCACCCACCCAAGUCAAACAUUCAAAGUACCAUUUUCCUGGCAGGCAACAUUUGUAUUUCUCCAAGGAAUCUUUUCUUUGAAAGGAAUGAGCUAUCACUGGGGAUCUCUGAUGCUGCCUGGAGUUCAGGUCCUGUCUGAGACACUACCCAAGUCUCCAGCAUAAAGGACAUCUGGACUUAGGUGAAUUUGUUCUGGAAAUGUUCUGGGUGGCUUUCCUAGGUUGGCUGGGAACUGGGAUACAGAGACUUACUAGCUAUCAGGUAUGAGAAGACGGAUCUCCAAGAGACGUCUAAGGAACUCUUAAAUUGUCAUUUGAAUCUAAUUCUGUCUGAAGAUAGAGACGUGGACCAGUAUUCCUUUAACUGAGGAACUGCUGAGACAUACACAUACUCAAGAGCACGAUGUGUCACGGCACGAUGGUGUCAGCUCUGGUUCCCCUCCGUCUAGAUGGCUGCUGGAACAAUUGCUGCCGUUUUCAAUCAACAGGCAUCUACUAAGAUGGAGGAAUGCAAAGAGCAAAGUGAAAGAUCCCCUGACCUUGAGGGGCUUAGAUUCCAUCAGGAGUUUAUCUUCCCUUUUGAUGUCCUGUGAUACCACACUCUCAUAAACUCAUAGGAUUUGAAGAGGAAGAAUAAACACAUACAUUUACACAUCAUCUACUCGAAUCACAUCUUUUACUGAUGAGGAAAAGGGGUCAAAAGGCAUUGUGUCUUGCCCAAAGUAGGAAUGAACAGAGAUAGGAUUAAAUCCAGGCCUUGCAAUUAUAAGUCUAGCUUGAUGAUAGAAUAGAAAGCACACUCGGCCUUUAGUCAGAAAGAUCUGAGCUUGAAUCCUACAUCAGAGCCUUAUUAGCUGUGUGACACUGGGUAAGUCACUUAAUCUUUGUCUGCCUCAGUGUCCUCAGCUGUAAAAUAGGGAUAACAAUAAUAGCACCUAUCUCCCAGGGUUGACGUGAGAUUAGAAUGAGAUGUUCACAAAGUGCUCCACAAACCUUACAUACUCUCUAAAUGCUAGCUUUGUUAGCUCUCCCUACCUGAGCCUAGCUGCUGGCUGCUAGUCUGCCAUACUGCCUGUUCCAGGCUGUCUUCACUUAGGAGGCUCAGACGUGAAGCGUUUGUCAUGUACACAUCAACUCCCACCUUCUCUCCUCUGCUUAUCACAGAGAACUUUAGCUUCCAUGCAGUCCAGUAUUAACACAUAAUCAGAGAUAACCCCUCAGUCAAUAUUCAGUUAAUUUUUCCUUAACAGAAUUCUCUCUUCCCUCUUGAAUAGGGGUUCUUAACUGGGUGGCCAUACAUUUGUUAGUUUACUUUAGAAACUGAUCAUUGUAUCUCAGUCUAAUUGAUUUCCUUUGCAAUUCUAUGUAUUUUAUUUAACACAUCUAAAACAUUAUUAUAAGAAGGCUUCACCAGACUGCCCAAGGAGUCCAUGACCUAGAAAGGAUUUAUAACCCUUAUUCUGGAAGGACAGUUUGGGACUGAUGAUACUGAGCUAUGAGGGUCAGAGGAGCAGUACGACGCCACAUCUAUCAUGUUCUCACUUCCCAAAGAGUAGAAGGUCAGCCCCACAGAAGAAGGAGACAACUGGGGGAAAACAAAGUCUUCCAGAUUUUAUCUGUGUCCCAAGUGACUUUCUUGGGGGAAAGUCAACCCAAUACCUGUACCUCAUACCAGAGACUAGACCCCUCUCUGCCCGUUGUUCUAGAAAAGGACAAGCCAGCUUUGUGGGUUUGGUUGAGAGUGUGUGUGUGUGUGUUGCAUCCCUGCCCACUAAUAUGAUAUCUUUCACAUAGAGAAAUAGAGGUAUGCAGACCCAAAAGAAGAGAACAUACUUCCGUUCUUCAGUUAGCCAUCAUUUUUCCAUGAUGGUCACAGGAAGCCACCUGAUCUCCUUUAUGACUCACAAGUUUGUUCACUCAUUCAUUUACUCAGAAAUAUUUAUUGAUUUCCUACUAUGCAUAGAGCUCUGUUUUAGAAGGUAUGGGGGGGUAUUAACUUUGCAAAUUUUUAAAUUGGUUUUAUUUGCAUAAUUGCUAGCCCAGUGUGUAGUCUUCAGUCACGGAACAGAGGGAAGCCAUGUAGAGAUGUUGAGACCAAACCCAUGACUAUGAUUUUUAUCAUUCUCACUCUCAUUUAUCAUUAUAUGUGUUUUGUAGAGAAAUGCCAUCCUAUAUGUGUCAUCUGAAUAAUGUAUGAUCAGCUCUGGGCCUCUUCUAUGAGAGUAAGAAGGGGCCAAGUUCCCACAGGAAGGUGCGAGCACAGGAUGCUGCCUCAGUCCUUUGGGACAGAGAUAGACAUGACCAUCAUCCUGCCUGCUCCCUGUACCAGCACCUGAAGCCCGCUUCACUCACAUCUGCCCAAUCUUGACGUUCCUGUCAAAGGCUCCCUGACCUACAGCUUUUAUGGCCUGAUCUGGAGAGCAGAGGUGCAUUCAGGAAAGACAGCUUCCCAUACACUGACGAUGUGCUCUUGUCCACUGCUUUCCAGCUGGGGAAAGGACUCACUAUUGCCCCUUUAAAGGGGAUUCUCUUGGGUUUUUUGUGCUGCUUUCCCAAGGCUGAAGGGUGUAGUAAGCAUCUCAUCACUCUCUUGUCCUGGGGCACACAUCUGGAUGCCUUCCUCUGGCCAGGAGAUCCUAUUUCAUGGAAGUGUCACGGGCAGAGGCAAGCAGGCUCUGCCUGGGUGGGCCCCACAUGAAGCCUGGUGCUCAGAUCAGUCAAAAAGCUCCACCAAGAACCAAUCCCUGGGCUAAAUGCUGUUCAUGUCCUCAAUCAGAUGGUGUCCAGUGACAGCCUCCCAACCAAGCCCUUUCUCUUCCUCUUCAGCUUAUCAACCUAACACAAACCACUGGAAUAAACUGUCUUCUACCAUGCUACCUUGGUACCAUGGGCCUGGUGGCUUUCUAGGGUAUGGGGGUGACUCACUGGGUUAGAAAGGAUUUGCUAUGCAUACCUCUGCCUAGCCCCUGAUGGAAUGAAUGUGGAAAAUUUUUCUAGCUUCAGAGAAUGCAGCAUUUAGGGGCUAACCAAUCAUCUGAAAUUCCUGUAAUAAAUGAAAAAUAAACACACAGCCGAGGAUAUAAUUCAGCUAACCUCUCUCCUGAACAAGUCAGAUUCUAGAUAGAAAGCAGAUUUUCAUAUUUACUGUAUGUGACAGCUGUAGGAAUUAAAUGAAUCAUCUGUCUA